This 636-nucleotide ribosomal RNA is filed under the name Cisaris sp. RDB-2000. RNAcentral's name for it is "eukaryotic LSU rRNA". It matches the Rfam family "Eukaryotic large subunit ribosomal RNA", at positions 420 to 798 of the family's 3401-position model. The record is from RNAcentral. Lineage: Eukaryota; Metazoa; Arthropoda; Insecta; Hymenoptera; Ichneumonidae. RNAcentral also lists the same sequence under 1 other name.
CCUGAGAAACCCGAAAGAUCGAAUGGGGAGAUUCAUCGUCAGCGAUUCUGGUACGUGUGCGGUUCGCGAUGCCGGUGGCCUCGGUCUCAUGGCACGCGUCCGCAUGUUUUUUAUUGCCUGAAUCGUCGGCGUGCACUUCUCCCCUAGUAGGACGUCGCGACCCGUUGGAUGUCGGUCUACGGCCCGGGCGGUAGCCUGUCAUGUGUGCGCUUCGCGGCGUUACGCUUGGCAGACCCCUGUGUGUCUGGCCGGCUGUCCGGCGGUACUCGCACGGUAUCUGGCCGCAAAUAUUCGAACUGCGUCCGGCCCGUCGCAAGCGAGGCAAGUGUUCCCGGCUGUACGGAUCUAAUGCCGUCACCGGGCCUUGCCAGCUGUUGGUUGACGGUGUCCUAGGACUGGCUAUUUUAUUAUGAUACCGGUCGGCGACGCUACUGCUUUGGGUACUUUCAGGACCCGUCUUGAAACACGGACCAAGGAGUCUAACAUGUGCGCGAGUCAUUGGGAACUAUUAAGCCUAAAGGCGCAAUGAAAGUGAAGGUCGGCCUUGCGCCGACCGAGGGAGGAUGGGCCGCGUCACGAUGCGGUCCCGCACUACCCGGGGCGUCUCGUUCUCAUUGCGAGAAGAGGCGCACCCAG